UGCCGGAUGGUGUAACGGCAGCACGAGUGACUCUGAAUCACUUAGUCCAGGUUCGAAUCCUGGUCCGGCAGCCA
Molecule: transfer RNA, 74 nt
Filed under: Gammaproteobacteria bacterium
Lineage: Bacteria; Pseudomonadati; Pseudomonadota; Gammaproteobacteria
Also listed under: 3 other names
Description: tRNA-Gln
Rfam family: tRNA
About the family: Transfer RNA (tRNA) molecules are approximately 80 nucleotides in length. Their secondary structure includes four short double-helical elements and three loops (D, anti-codon, and T loops).
Source: RNAcentral